UCGUCUGCGGUAGGAGGGAACAAUGUUUAUGUAACCUAUUUAUGUUAUCUGCCCCAUUCUUCGGUUUGUGUCUCACCAACAAGCGUGUGGCGCAGCACGGAUAGAAACAGUCACUAGGAUGUCCAAGGAGGGCCAACCACGCGAACCGGAGCAGCUGAGGAAGCUCUUCAUCGGAGGGCUGAGCUUUGAAACCACAGACGACAGUUUGCGAGCAUAUUUUGAACAAUGGGGCACAUUGACGGAUUGUGUUGUCAUGAAAGAUCCAAACACAAAGCGGUCGAGGGGAUUUGGCUUCGUCACUUACUCAAAUGGGUCUGAAGUUGACGCUGCUAUGGAUGCACGCCCCCACAAGGUUGAUGGUAGACUCGUGGAGCCCAAGCGGGCUGUGUCUCGUGAGGACUCAAACAAACCUUUUGCCCAUACAACUGUAAAGAAGAUAUUUGUCGGUGGUAUUAAAGAUGACACUGAGGAGCACCAUCUUCGUGACUACUUCACUGAUUUUGGCAAGAUUGAGGCCAUUGAGAUAAUGGUUGACCACAAGACUGGAAACAAAAGGGGCUUUGCCUUCGUUACGUUUGAUGACCAUGAUUCAGUUGAUCGCAUCGUCAUUCAAAAGUACCACACUGUAAAUGGGCACAACUGUGAAGUCAGGAAAGCUCUCUCUAAACAAGAAAUGCAGAACACAGGAAUGAACAUGAGGGGUCGUGGAGGUGGAAACUUUGGUAACCGAUACGGCAAUGGAAAUGGUGGAUACAAUGACUUUGGAGGUGGUCGCGAUGGAGGAUUUGGUGGAAGAGGAGGUGGUAGAGGUGGUGGUGGUGGAGGAUAUGGAGGUGACUGCUACAACAAUGGAUUUGGAGGCGACGGUGGUUACGGUGGCGGCGGUCCUGGUGGCUAUGGUGGAAACCGUGGAUAUGGAGGUGGAGGUGGUGGAUAUGGCAAUCAGGGUGGAGGUUAUGGUGGUGGCGGUGGUGGUGGCAGUGGUGGCUACAAUGAUUACAACAAUGGCAAUGGAAACUUUGGAGGUGGUAACUUUGGAGGUGGCAGUGGCAGCGGAGGUGGUAACUACAGUGACUUUGGCAGCUACAACAACCAGCAGUCCAACUAUGGCCCCAUGAAGGGAAACUUUGGAGGUGGAAGUGGUGGUGGAAGGAGUAGUGGCCCAUAUGGUGGUGGCUAUGGUGGUGGUGGCGGCAGUGGGGGCUCCGGCGGUGGAUAUGGCAGUGGGGGCUCCGGCGGUGGAUAUGGCAGUGGGGGCUCCGGCGGUGGAUAUGGCAGUGGGGGCUCCGGCGGUGGAUAUGGCAGUGGGGGCUCCGGCGGUGGAUAUGGCAGUGGGGGCUCCGGCGGCGGAUAUGGCGGUGGCUCUGGAGGCAGACGGUUUUAAAGUUCUGAAAGGAUCUGAUGAGUGAAUCAUGUUUGAAAUGGAAAGGCAUUUGUCUGUCUGAACUGGUUGAGAAAUAAAAGGACCAAGAUGCUACAGACUGUUUAUUUUUUUACCUUUUUUACAAUAAAUCUUUUUAUGCUACAGGUGUCUUUCCCCUAAAUCAUUUAGUGAAAAUUUGUAUUUAUGGUAAGCUGUCUAAUAAUGAUUCCAGUUACUGGACCAACAUUUUAACAAGUUAUUUUGGAAAAUCUUUCAGUAUGAUCUAAAUCAGAUACAGACACAUUUGGUUGUCCAUUUGAGGUGAUUUUUAGAAAAGUGAAACUUUAAUUUAAAAAGACUUAUGAGAUUGAUCUUUCAACAUGUCCACAUCACAUUUCUUAAACUAUGCAAAAAUACUGAAAUACAACUUCAAAUAUGCAUUCAGACACUGAGUGGUGUGUAGUUGUGAAUCUUAAUGGUUUUCUCAGCUUUAGAUUUACAGCACUAUAUUUGAUAAAUUCACGAUAAGGUUAUUUAAAAUUACUCCAUUAGGCAUUAACUAAUUCUUUCAGUAUUUGAGUCAACUGAAUAUCAAAAUACUAUUCAUGUUCAUACUGCAUAAAUGUUAAUUUAUGCAGCUUUGUAGAACUUAAAGGGAUGGUUCACCCAAAAAUUUAAGUUCUCAUUUACUCACCCUCAUGCCAUCCCAAAUGUAUGAAUUUGUUGCUGUUUUUCAAAUAUAUCCACUCUGUAGGUGCAUAUAGUUAUGGAAAAAAUAUUUGCACUCAUGGUAAAUGAGCAAGAAGGCUGUGAAAAAUGUAUCUUUUCGAUCUUUCAUUCAAAAUAUUAACAAAUCUAACCUUUUAAGCAAACUAUAAGUUCUUAUUAUUGUAUCUGAAUUAAUAUUUAAAAAAAUGUUGUACACCUGGGUGACUAACAUGAAAUUGUUCAGCCAUGACUUACUGUUUUCACAGGGGUGUAACUUACACAAGCCAGUUAUCCAUCCUUUUUGGUAAGACCGAAGAAUAAAGUUCCUAUGUUUGGCGAAAGGUUGAGCUUCACAAAAUGGGAUGUGGCUAAAGCAUUGAAAAUGCCCAUUUCCACCAUCAGGGCAAUAAAAAGUUCCAAUCAACUGGAGAUCUUAAGAAUCAGCCUGAAAGAGGAUGUGUGUCUAUUGUCUCCAUACACUGAGUAGGAUGGUUUGAGUGGCCAAAAAUUCUAGAAGGACCACAGCUGGAGAAUUGCAGAAAUUAGUUGUGUCUUGGGGUCAGAAAGUCUCAAACUACGAUCAGAUGUCACCUAAAUAAAGUUGUUUAGGAGGGUUUAAAAAAGAAAAAUGGCCUCUGCUUUCAUAAACUCCAAGUGUCUUAAGUUUGCGAGACACUACUGGAACUUCAAAUGGGACCGGGUUCUAUGGUUCGAUAAAACAGAAAUGGAGCUUUUUGGCAGCAAACACCGGAGAAGGGUUUUGCACACAAAGGUAGCCAAAUGGAAAAGAACCCCAAGCCCACGGUUAAAUAUGGUGGUUGAUCUUUCAUGUUGUGGUGCUGUUUUUAUGCCAGAGGUCCUGCACAUCUUCAGAUACAUGGCUUCAUUGACUAUUAAAUGAUUAACAGAUGAAACAAAACCUGAAAGUCUCUGCUAGAAAGCUUAAAAUGGGCUGUGGUUGUGGUAAAAUGGGCCACAUACCAGUAGCACAAUGAUCCAGAACAAACCUCAGAAUCAACACAAAUGGUUCACUGGCCACAGAGGUUCUGUCAUGGCCAUCCCAGUACCCUGACCUGAACCCCAUAGAAAAUCUGGGGUGAACUGAACAGGAGAGUCCAGUAGCGUGUACCUUGGAAUUGGAAGGAUCUGGAGAGAUUCUGGAUGGAGGAAUGGUCUCUGAUCCCUUGCCGUGUGUUCUACAACCUCAGGAAUUAUAGGAGAAUAUUCAGAGCUGUUUUCUUGGUAAAGGGAGGUUGCACAAAGUAUUGAAUAAAAGGGUCCCAAUAAUUGUGCCACACAUAUAUUUGAGGGGACAAAUGUUUUUUGAUAAUUUGUGUUUGCAAUUGUUUGAUGUCCAUUUGAGGAUAGAUCUUUGUUAAUAAUUUGAAUGAAAGAUCAAAAUGAUAAACAAAACAAUACAAAAAAUUCACAGCCUCCUUUUCUCAUAUUUACCAAGGGUGCCAAUAUUUUUGGCCACAACUGUAAGUAAUAUGUUUAAUGUAUAUAGUGCCUUUCCAGAGCUCAAGGACGCUUUACAAUAGUAACAUAAUACAUAAAGAAUGAACAGUCACAAAAACAGUUCAGAUAGUACAGUCAUUGAGAGUGAAUACAUAACAAAUUAAGACAAAUAACACUGAGAAAACAAAAAAAGAUUUAAGUUGAGAUUUAAACUCAAGAGAUAGAAGAGAUGCUGCAAAAUGUCAGAGGGAGUGAAUUCCAUAUAUUGGGUGCUACUGUGCUGAAUGACCUGCCACCCAUAGCAGAGAGGCGAGAUCUAGGGACAGGAAGGAGUCCUUGGUAAGUGAAUGGGUACCAACAUUUUGAAACCAAAAAGCACAAAGGUGGCUUAAAAGUACUCAAUGUCUUUGGAAGCAAUAUGAUAGGUGUGGGUCAGAAACAUAUCAAUAUUUAAGUCCUUUUUUACUAUAAAUUCUCCCUGCUCAGUAGGUGGCGAUAUGCACGAAGAAUGUGAAUUGCCAGAAAUAUGAAAGUGGAGAUUAAAAAAAAGUAAUUAAAUAUUGAUCUGUAUGUCACCUACACUUAUAUUGCUUCUGAAGACAUAAAUUAAACCACUGGAGUCAGAUGAAUAACUUCUAUGCUGCCUUUAUGUGCUUUUGGAGAUUUGGUACCCAUUCACUUGCAUUGUAUGGACCUACAGAGCUGAGAUAUUCU
Molecule: RNA transcript, 4243 nt
Organism: Myxocyprinus asiaticus (Chinese sucker)
Lineage: Eukaryota; Metazoa; Chordata; Actinopteri; Cypriniformes; Catostomidae
Gene name: heterogeneous nuclear ribonucleoprotein A1-like
Exons: 12
Source: RefSeq, a predicted model, not a curated record